GACGAACGCUGGCGGCGUGCCUAACACAUGCAAGUCGAGCGGAGAUUGCAGUAAUGUAAUCUUAGCGGCGGACGGGUGAGUAACGCGUGGGCAACCUACCUAUAACUGGGGGAUAACACAGGGAAACUUGUGCUAAUACCGCAUAACAUCAUGAAGUGACAUCACUUUAUGAUCAAAGGAGUAAUCCGGUAAUAGAUGGGCCCGCGUCCGAUUAGCUAGUUGGUGAGGUAAUGGCUCACCAAGGCAACGAUCGGUAGCCGAACUGAGAGGUUGAUCGGCCACAUUGGGACUGAGACACGGCCCAGACUCCUACGGGAGGCAG
RNAcentral lists this ribosomal RNA (322 nucleotides) under uncultured Bacillota bacterium. RNAcentral describes it as "bacterial SSU rRNA". It matches the Rfam family "Bacterial small subunit ribosomal RNA", at positions 28 to 351 of the family's 1533-position model. The record is from RNAcentral. Lineage: Bacteria; Bacillati; Bacillota.